This 789-nucleotide ribosomal RNA is filed under the name uncultured bacterium. RNAcentral's name for it is "bacterial SSU rRNA". It matches the Rfam family "Bacterial small subunit ribosomal RNA", at positions 57 to 876 of the family's 1533-position model. The record is from RNAcentral.
GCAGGUCGAACGGAAUUUUUAAUUUCGUGGCGAACGGGUGAGUAAUCGCAGAAUUUUACCUUUUAGUCCAAAAUAAAAAUUUUUAUAAAAAAUUAAAUGUUGGAUAAUUUUAAAAGGUUAUUUUUUUCCGCUAAAAGAUAAAUCUGCUUAAGAUUAGGUUGUUGGUAAUUUAAAAGCUUACCAAGCCUAUGAUCUUUAGUUGGUCUGAGAGGAUGAUCAACCACACUAGAACUGAAAUAAGGUCUAGGCUGACUUGUCGGCCAGCAGUGAGGAAUAUUGGACAAUGGACGAAAGUCUGAUCCAGCAAUACUAACUGGGUGAUGACGGCUUAUAUAAGUUGUAAAGCCCUUUCAUUAAAGAAGAUAGUGACAUUAUUUAAUGUAAUUUAGUCCUGGCUAAUACUCGUGCCAGCAGCCGCGGUAAUACGGGAAGGGCAAGCGUUAUUCGGCAUGACUGGGCGUAAAGAGUCCGUAGAUGGUAAAGUAAGUCUUUUGUUAAAUUUUAAGACUUAAUCUUAACACAGCAAUAAAUACUGCUUUACUAUAGAGUUUAAUAGAGAAAAGUAGAAUUUUAUACGAUUAGGGGUGAAAUCCGUAGAUAUAUAAAGGAAUGCCAACAGCGAAGGCAACUUUUUACUAUAAACUGACAUUGAGGGACGAAAGUGUGGGUAGCAAACAGGAUUAGAGACCCUGGUAGUCCACACUGUAAAUUCUGAGUGCUGUAAUUUAAUUAUAAUAUGAUUGCAUAUUAUUUAGAUUUUCAAGCUAACGCAAUAAGCACUCCGCCUGA